CUAAAAAACCUCUUUAGUCCCCGCGUUGUGGGACACAUGUUUUAGAUCAGGCUGAUUUCUGCAUAUUCCCUUCAUCUUGUUGAUUCACACCUGAUAAAUGGGUUUUGAUGGUAGACAGAUGCCAUGGUAGCCCCUCAAGAAUACCUAUGGUUGGCAUCCCAUCAUAAAUGUUCUUUAUUGUGUGGCCCACUGGAGUUGUGGAUCUAGCUGAAUUUUGGCCCCAGCGUCUGGCAUUGAGGAUCUCAGCUGCUGGACGGAGUGGAUUUCACAUAUACAAAUGGUGGGACCCAAAGAGCUUGGGGCUUUUACGUGCUUUGUAAAACAGGUUCGUAAGUCUUAUGGAAGGUCAUUUUUGGCUUGAAAGCGAGGGCUUGGGCAAGGGAUGCACUGCGGCAUUUGUUGUGAAGCUUGGGAUCAACAACAAUUCAAAUAAACAAGUGCCAAGGGCCCGACCAAAUUACAUCACAGAUCUUUCAGGACCAAAUGCUCGUUUUAGAGAAGACAUUGGGGUAAUUUCUACUCAACCUCGAUAUCAGCGAAGUCUUUAGAUGCCCACGGAAUGUUCUAGCAUUUUGGAAUCUCAUACCCAAGAUGAUUUCACAAUCUCGAACCAGUUUUGAUAUGGUUCAAGCCUAAAACAGGCUGCAAAAUUGCUUGGUCCACAUUUCCAAUGCGAAGGAUCGGAUCAACUUGCCAAUUGGAACUAAAUGAGGAUUUAUGUGCAUAUAAGAAGGGGCUUUGACUUUCCAAAGAAUGGUGAAUCAGAAGCAAGGUAUCAUUUGAAUGUAUGGUUAUUGAAAAUGUGUCAUUUGAAUGUCUGAUAUUUUAUAAUUAGAGGAAAUAUUUAUUGUUGGUGAAA
Long non-coding RNA from Magnolia sinica, 859 nucleotides. RefSeq lists it as uncharacterized. NCBI's taxonomy places the organism in Eukaryota, Viridiplantae, Streptophyta, Magnoliopsida, Magnoliales, Magnoliaceae. The record is from RefSeq and is a predicted model, not a curated record. The transcript has 2 exons.